GACGAACGCUGGCGGCGUGCCUAAUACAUGCAAGUUGAGCGCUGAAGGCUGGUACUUGUACCAACUGGAUGAGCAGCGAACGGGUGAGUAACGCGUGGGGAAUCUGCCUUUGAGCGGGGGACAACAUUUGGAAACGAAUGCUAAUACCGCAUAAAAACUUUAAACACAAGUUUUAAGUUUGAAAGAUGCAAUUGCAUCACUCAAAGAUGAUCCCGCGUUGUAUUAGCUAGUUGGUGAGGUAAAGGCUCACCAAGGCGAUGAUACAUAGCCGACCUGAGAGGGUGAGCGGCCACAGUGGGACUGGGACACGGCCCAAACUCCUACGGGAGGCAGCAGUAGGGAAUCUUCGGCAAUGGACGAAAGUCUGACCGAGCAACGCCGCGUGAGUGAAGAAGGUUUUCGGAUCGUAAAACUCUGUUGGUAGAGAAGAACGUUGGUGAGAGUGGAAAGCUCAUCAAGUGACGGUAACUACCCAGAAAGGGACGGCUAACUACGU
RNAcentral lists this ribosomal RNA (496 nucleotides) under uncultured bacterium. Its description in RNAcentral is "partial 16S ribosomal RNA". It matches the Rfam family "Bacterial small subunit ribosomal RNA", at positions 28 to 506 of the family's 1533-position model. The record is from RNAcentral.